CCAAAGGCUCUUUUCAGAGCCCCUCAACUCUCAUGAGGGAAGAG
Myotis davidii is the source of this 44-nucleotide non-coding RNA. The record is from Rfam. Lineage: Eukaryota; Metazoa; Chordata; Mammalia; Chiroptera; Vespertilionidae.